GCAGUCGAGCGAACAGAUGAGAAGCUUGCUUCUCUGAUGUUAGCGGCGGACGGGUGAGUAACACGUGGGUAACCUACCUAUAAGACUGGGAUAACUCCGGGAAACCGGGGCUAAUACCGGAUAAUAUUUUGAACCGCAUGGUUCAAUAGUGAAAGACGGUUUCGGCUGUCACUUAUAGAUGGACCCGCGCCGUAUUAGCUAGUUGGUAAGGUAACGGCUUACCAAGGCGACGAUACGUAGCCGACCUGAGAGGGUGAUCGGCCACACUGGAACUGAGACACGGUCCAGACUCCUACGGGAGGCAGCAGUAGGGAAUCUUCCGCAAUGGGCGAAAGCCUGACGGAGCAACGCCGCGUGAGUGAUGAAGGUCUUCGGAUCGUAAAACUCUGUUGUUAGGGAAGAACAAAUUUGUUAGUAACUGAACAAGUCUUGACGGUACCUAACCAGA
RNAcentral lists this ribosomal RNA (448 nucleotides) under Mammaliicoccus sciuri. Its description in RNAcentral is "bacterial SSU rRNA". It matches the Rfam family "Bacterial small subunit ribosomal RNA", at positions 57 to 487 of the family's 1533-position model. Lineage: Bacteria; Bacillati; Bacillota; Bacilli; Caryophanales; Staphylococcaceae. The record is from RNAcentral.